GCCAGAUUGCCCGAGCGGCCAAAGGGAGCGGAUUGUAAAUCCGUCGGCAUUGCUACGUUGGUUCGAAUCCAUCAUCUGGCACCA
Molecule: transfer RNA, 84 nt
Filed under: Corynebacterium auriscanis
Lineage: Bacteria; Bacillati; Actinomycetota; Actinomycetes; Mycobacteriales; Corynebacteriaceae
Description: tRNA-Tyr
Rfam family: tRNA
About the family: Transfer RNA (tRNA) molecules are approximately 80 nucleotides in length.
Source: RNAcentral